RNAcentral lists this ribosomal RNA (447 nucleotides) under uncultured bacterium. RNAcentral describes it as "bacterial SSU rRNA". It matches the Rfam family "Bacterial small subunit ribosomal RNA", at positions 329 to 792 of the family's 1533-position model. The record is from RNAcentral.
CACCAGACUCCUACGGGAGGCAGCAGUGGGGAAUAUUGCACAAUGGGGGGAACCCUGAUGCAGCGACGCCGCGUGGGUGAAGAAGUAUUUCGGUAUGUAAAGCCCUAUCGGCAGGGAAGAAAUUGGACGGUACCUGACUAAGAAGCCCCGGCUAACUACGUGCCAGCAGCCGCGGGAAUACGUAGGGGGCAAGCGUUAUCCGGAUUCACUGGGUGUAAAGGGAGCGUAGACGGCAGGGCAAGUCUGGAGUGAAAGCCCGGGGCCCAACCCCGGGACUGCUUUGGAAACUGCCAUGCUAGAGUGCUGGAGAGGUAAGCGGAAUUCCUAGUGUAGCGGUGAAAUGCGUAGAUAUUAGGAGGAACACCAGUGGCGAAGGCGGCUUACUGGGCAGUAACUGACGUUGAGGCUCGAAAGCGUGGGGAGCAAACAGGAUUAGAUACCCUGGUA